Molecule: ribosomal RNA, 584 nt
Filed under: human gut metagenome
Description: bacterial LSU rRNA
Rfam family: Bacterial large subunit ribosomal RNA
Source: RNAcentral
GGCAACCGUCCUUUUGAAUGCAAGAGUACAAGCGGGCUUGACUGCGAGGCCCACAAGCCGAGCAGGUGCGAAAGCAGGCUCUAGUGAUCCGGCGGCCCCGAGUGGGUGGGCCGUCGCUCAACGGAUAAAAGGUACUCCGGGGAUAACAGGCUGAUCUUGCCCAAGAGUCCACAUCGACGGCAAGGUUUGGCACCUCGAUGUCGGCUCAUCGCAUCCUGGGGCUGGAGCAGGUCCCAAGGGUACGGCUGUUCGCCGUUUAAAGCGGUACGCGAGCUGGGUUCAGAACGUCGUGAGACAGUUCGGUCACUAUCCUCCGUGGGCGCAGGAGAAUCGAUGGAGGCUGCCCCCAGUACGAGAGGACCGGGGUGGACGCACCUCCGGUGAACCGGUUGUCGACCAACGGCACGGCCGGGUAGCCGCGUGCGGCGCGGAUAACCGCUGAAGGCAUCUAAGCGGGAAGCCGUUCCAGGGAUUAGUUCUCCUUCCGGUAAGGGCCCAGGUAGACUACCUGGUCGAUAGACGGCAGGUGCAAGGGCGGCGACGUCCUCAGCCGAGCCGCACUAAUCGCCCGAGCUCUUCCGGAA